Acipenser ruthenus (sterlet) is the source of this 583-nucleotide long non-coding RNA. RefSeq lists it as uncharacterized. NCBI's taxonomy places the organism in Eukaryota, Metazoa, Chordata, Actinopteri, Acipenseriformes, Acipenseridae. The record is from RefSeq and is a predicted model, not a curated record. The transcript has 3 exons.
CAGCAGUGCACAGUGGAAUAUAAACGCAUGACUUUGACUCGUUCGUGGUUCAAAUUACAGUAACAACCUCCGAAAAAUAGAAAUAUUAAUAAAAAUAAAUACAAGGCAGCAGGGUGUCUACGGGCGGGGAGGAAGCAUUUCUUUUGAAUUACAAAUGAAAUGAUUUGAAUCAGAUUUGUUGCGGAAGUCGGUCCUGGGGGUUCGCUGUCUGUGUGCGUGUCGGCUCGUUUUUUUUUGUGAAGCGUCGUAUUCAGGGUUAGAUCAUUUCUAGUGUAAUGCAGAAUAUACGAUCCGAUUCAGCCGUGUGCCUUUCUAAACAAUCCGACUCGUCCGGCAUCCAUUCCUGACCGGUCCCAAAUACGGAACUCUUGUUUCCGGGAGGGGCGUGUGAAAGUGUGCGACAGGAAGUGUAGCAGCGGGUCACAUUGCGGUGUCGGGAGCGGUGUUUCGAAGGACAGUGAAUUGUUCAGCAUGUUUCUGUCGCGGAUCCCGGCUCACCUGCGCGCGGCCUCCUCUCUCGUCUCAGGCUGCCUGCAGUUCUCUGGAAGGCCAGUGUGUGGUGCUGUGGUGCUGAGCUGGCCCC